Molecule: ribosomal RNA, 279 nt
Filed under: uncultured bacterium
Lineage: Bacteria
Description: partial 16S ribosomal RNA
Rfam family: Bacterial small subunit ribosomal RNA
Source: RNAcentral
UGCCAGCAGCCGCGGUAAGACGGAGGGUGCAAGCGUUGCUCGGAAUCACUGGGCGUAAAGCGUACGCAGGCUGGUGGUCAAGUCGGAUGUGAAAGCCCGGGGCUCAACCCCGGAACUGCAUUCGAAACUGGUCACCUUGAGUACGGGAGAGGGAAGCGGAAUUCCUGGUGUAGAGGUGAAAUUCGUAGAUAUCAGGAGGAACACCGGUGGCGAAAGCGGCUUCCUGGCCCGAUACUGACGCUCAUGUACGAAAGCGUGGGGAGCAAACAGGAUUAGAUA